This 21-nucleotide microRNA is filed under the name Caenorhabditis briggsae. RNAcentral's name for it is "cbr-miR-2223". Lineage: Eukaryota; Metazoa; Nematoda; Chromadorea; Rhabditida; Rhabditidae. The record is from miRBase by way of RNAcentral.
UUUGUACUCAUGUAAGGUGAC